AACGAACGCUGGCGGCAUGCCUAACACAUGCAAGUCGAACGAGACUUUCGGGUCUAGUGGCGCACGGGUGCGUAACGCGCGGGAACCUGUCCUUAGGUUCGGAAUACCUUCCCGAAUGGGGUGCCAAUACCGGAUACUGCUAUUGGACCAAAGAUUUAUCGCCCUUGGAUGGGCCCGCGUUGGAUUAGCUAGUUGGUAGGGUAAAAGCCUACCAAGGCGACGAGCCAUAGUUGGUCUGAGAGGAUGAUCAGCCACACGGGGACUGAGACACGGCGCAGACGCCGGCAUGAGGCAGCGGUGGGGAGUAUUAUACAGUGAGCGAGAGCCUGAGCCAGCGAUGCCGGGUGUGUGAUGAAGGCCUUAGGGUUGUAAAGCUCUUUUACCCGGGAUGAUAAUGACAGUACCGGGAGAAUAAGCUCCGGCUAACUCCGUG
This 433-nucleotide ribosomal RNA is filed under the name uncultured bacterium. RNAcentral's name for it is "partial 16S ribosomal RNA". It matches the Rfam family "Bacterial small subunit ribosomal RNA", at positions 29 to 507 of the family's 1533-position model. The record is from RNAcentral.